Prunus mume (Japanese apricot) is the source of this 761-nucleotide long non-coding RNA. RefSeq lists it as uncharacterized. The record is from RefSeq and is a predicted model, not a curated record. NCBI's taxonomy places the organism in Eukaryota, Viridiplantae, Streptophyta, Magnoliopsida, Rosales, Rosaceae.
GCAACUUAAUAGUACCAUUUCUUUUUUCUCCUCAUUUGGCAGAUGGGUUCCGUUGAAGAACAUCACCAUGGCGAUUUCAAUGAAGUUGAAUCUGCUAAUCAGAUAAUGGGCAGAAGAUGUGCCCUGGAUUUUGAAUUUUUGGUGUUGUAAUUUUGUCAUUAUCGUCAUGUGCCCAAUUAUUUAUGAAUUGGGUCGGGAUGGCAGUCAAGGACCCAAAAGUCGGGCAAUCUAAGUCCAAGGACCUUAAAGCUAAAGAGCUGCUGAAGAAAUCAUUCAAUCAGAGUGCACAGGCUUUGUUCACUUCUUCCAAGCUCAUCAAGAGAGACCAUCAAGAUCCUGAAGGAAAAACAUGACCAAGUGACAAAGAUGGAGUUGGAGGCCAGCCUUGUUAUUGAGCUUGACCAAGCUGAACAGGAUAGGCACAAGGCUACUGCAGCCAAGACACAGCUCCGUCUCAUCCAAGAACAACUGGCCAUAACGCAAGGAUCUUGUUGAGGCGAAAGCCAAGUUCACCAGGUUCAGCUCAGAGCUGGAUCAUGCUCAGGGAGGGAGAGCGGGCAGCGGUUGAGAUGAGUAGAAGCAACUCAAAGUAGAGGCAUAGAAGAGUGGGAGCACAUCCACGCAAUCUUGAACUCAAAGUAGAGGCAAGAAGCGCGGCUACAUGAUGCAUGUAAUGCGUGGAUGCAUGGAUCCAUGUUAUCGUUGUGUUAGUUUGUAAAUCAUAUUUUAACGUCCCAAUUUUCUUUUAUUUCGUUUGUUAA